CAUGGCUCAGAUUGAACGCUGGCGGCAGGCUUAACACAUGCAAGUCGAGCGGGGUGAUGUAGCUUGCUACAUUACCUAGCGGCGGACGGGUGAGUAAUGCUUAGGAAUCUGCCUAUUAGUGGGGGACAACAUUCCGAAAGGAAUGCUAAUACCGCAUACGCCCUACGGGGGAAAGCAGGGGAUCUUCGGACCUUGCGCUAAUAGAUGAGCCUAAGUCAGAUUAGCUAGUUGGUGGGGUAAAGGCCUACCAAGGCGACGAUCUGUAGCGGGUCUGAGAGGAUGAUCCGCCACACUGGGACUGAGACACGGCCCAGACUCCUACGG
This 324-nucleotide ribosomal RNA is filed under the name uncultured bacterium. RNAcentral's name for it is "bacterial SSU rRNA". It matches the Rfam family "Bacterial small subunit ribosomal RNA", at positions 18 to 344 of the family's 1533-position model. The record is from RNAcentral.